RNAcentral lists this ribosomal RNA (406 nucleotides) under uncultured bacterium. RNAcentral's name for it is "partial 16S ribosomal RNA". It matches the Rfam family "Bacterial small subunit ribosomal RNA", at positions 29 to 526 of the family's 1533-position model. The record is from RNAcentral.
AUUGAACGCUGGCGGCAGGCCUAACACAUGCAAGUCGAACGAGUGGCGGACGGGUGAGUAAUGUCUGGGAAACUGCCUGAUGGAGGGGGAUAACUACUGGAAACGGUAGCUAAUACCGCAUACCAUCGGAUUUGCCCAGCUGGGAUUAGCGAGUGGGUGGGGUAAAGGCUCACCUAGGCGACGAUCCCUAGCUGGUCUGAGAGGAUGACCGGCCACACUGGAACUGGGACACGGUCCAGACCCCAACGGGGGGAAGAAGGGGGGAACAUUGCACAAUGGGCGCAAGCCUGAGGCAGCAAGGCCUGGGGUAUAAAGAGGGCCUUCGGGUUGUAAAGUACUUUCAGCGGGGAGGCGUUACCCGCAGAGGAAGCACCGGCUAACUCCGUGCCAGCAGCCGCGGUAAUUC